GGGAGGGGGCAUGGAGAUGGCCGCGGCGGGAUGGGACGGUUGGACUGCGGCUCAGGGCCUCUCUGGCGGAAAGCACAGAUAAAAAUGGGAAAAACGUGGCUCUCCCGCCUGACAUUGCCGGCUAAGGCCACGGCAGCCGCGCAGACAGAAGCGUUUCUCCUAGAUGAAGGGACUGAAUGAGAUGCA
Neopsephotus bourkii (Bourke's parrot) is the source of this 186-nucleotide long non-coding RNA. RefSeq lists it as uncharacterized. The record is from RefSeq and is a predicted model, not a curated record. Lineage: Eukaryota; Metazoa; Chordata; Aves; Psittaciformes; Psittacidae. The transcript is spliced from 3 exons.